CGGUUGUGGAUGCUUUCUGUGUGUGAUGAUAGACCUGCUCAUCCUUUACAUCUAGCUGCAAUAAAGUAGCCUUCCAACAUCUCUUGUUGACCUUUAGUACCUUAACGAAUUGCCCUGAUAGGCGGCAGUUGUCUAAAGAUCUUACUGGUCACAGUUUUUCUCUGCAGAGGAUCGGAUCCUCUUUCAAAGGCCGAUAACAGAACAUCACCAGAAGGCUGACGAGUCACAGUGAUACACUUGGGGGCCCUAUUCAUGUCUGCAGCCCCCGCGACACACACUGGGUCCAUUGUGGCGAGGAAUGUCUCCUUUCAUGGCCUGAACCCGCCUGUGAAAGCAUGUCAAUAAUCCCCAGGCAGUGGGUGCUUCACAAUGCCGCCGCGACCGCCCCACCAAACGGGCCGCGCUGAAAACGACGGGCCCCUUUUUGCACUCGUCCAAGGAAUAAAAAAUGACGCGGAUGCCUGAAUGAGCGGACGGUUGAAUGGACGGAGUAAUUAAUCUGAUGGAUGCUGAUAAUCAAACAACUUCACAAAGCCGGCUGUUCUUAAGAUGCCCUUUACCUCCUUCAAGUGGCGGGAGGCCUCCGACAACCCACGACAGUUUC
Molecule: long non-coding RNA, 604 nt
Organism: Gasterosteus aculeatus aculeatus (three-spined stickleback)
Lineage: Eukaryota; Metazoa; Chordata; Actinopteri; Perciformes; Gasterosteidae
Source: Ensembl